AUGCCCGUGACCUCCGCAAUCAGCGCUCGAGCCUGACACGUCGCCCGCACCCACCACCCUCCUCCACAUCAUCCCACCUCACACGCACGCAGCCGCCGUGCCGUGCCCGUGCGUGCCGGCUACUCACUUCCACAUUCCACGCCAGAAAUCCCCCAACUCGCGACUGACUCACUCUCCUCGCCCAGCCCCAGCCUCAGCCCCCGGCGCCGACGCCUACGGAUCCCGAUCUGCUUCCCCCUUGACGAGCGGCGCGCGGUUGGUUGAGUGCGGCAUGGAGGGGUGGCCGUGUGCGGAGGGAGGUGCGCCCGCGAGGGGAGAGGAGGAGGAGGAGGAGGACCAGUUCGACCGGCUGCCCGACGAGGUGCUCCUGGACGUCUUCAACCGCAUCGGCGACGUCAAGGCGCUCGGCCGGUGCGCCCUCGUGUCCCGCCGCUUCCACGAGCUCGUCCCGCUCGUCGACUCCGUCUUCGUGCGCGUCGACUGCGUCAUACCCGACGAGCCGCCGUCCUCGUCGGCCAGCUCCCCGCAGGCCGCCGCGGCGGCCCCUGGGCGGGGGCGGGGCGCGCUCGCCCACCUCGCGCGCCUCGUGCUCGGCGGCAUCGUCAGGCCCAUCCAGGCGCUCGGGCAGAUCCUCUCCCCCACCCUGGCGAUCGUCUCCCGCCGCCCCGUGGCCCCGCCCGCCUUGCCGCCUCCGCCCGCUGGGGACAUCUCCCACCACUCGCCCUCCGAGGUCCUCCGCUCCUUCAAGGAGCUUCGCCGCCUCGGCAUCGAGUUGCCCACCGGCGAGCUCGGCAUCGAUGACGGCGUCCUCCUCAAGUGGAAGGCCGACUUCGGGUCCACCCUCGGCAGCUGCGUCAUCUUCGGCGCAUCGUCUGUCUCGUCAAAGCCGCCGCCAACGCCGUCCCCUACUGCCGUGGACAGCUCGGCUACCUCUCCCGAUUCGACUAGGGACCCUGAAGAUUUGGCAAGCAUCCCUGAGUCACUUCAUACGAAUGGGGGACUUAAGCUCCGUGUUGUUUGGACGAUCAGCUCACUGAUUGCUGCAUCCGCACGGCAUUACUUGCUGCAGCCAAUCAUCGCAGAUCAUGAUACACUUGAUAGCUUGAACCUGACGGACGCUGAUGGGCAGGGAGUACUCACUAUGAACAAGAAACAGCUGCAGGAGUUGCGAGUGCGACCUGUGUUGCCUUCUGGGAACUCACAUCGCACACUCAUGCCGGCGCUCAUUAUGCGACUGUGGUACGCUCCGCACCUUGAGCUUCCUGGGGGAGUACUGCUGAAGGGUGCGACACUGGUGGCAAUCAGACCUAGUGAUGAUGUACUGAGGGAAGGGGGAGGGUUUGAGGCUGCUGGUCCGGCAGGUGCUAGCUGGAUCUCAGAUGCUUUUGAGGAGCCAUAUCGAACGGCAGCGAAGGUGCUUUUCAAGCGCAGGACAUACAGCCUUGAAAUGAACUCGUUCUGAGCUUCAGAGUUUUACCUUCUUCCAGCUUUGGCUUGUUAUGCACUGAGCUGGCACAUCGUUUGCCCCUUUUGAAAUGGUAAAUGGAGACAUAUGUGAGUUCUUUUUGAAGCUCUUGUUGAAGUGAUCUCCAAUCCAGCUAUUCUGAUGGGAUGAUGGGAUGCCCUUCAGGCGUAUGGAGUAUCUUGGAGUAUGGUGGACCUAACUCAUAUUCAGUGUAUACACCCUGUUUAUGUUGGGCUUAGCGAAGUGGACUGGAAUCCUGAAGUGAAGCCAUGAUAUGUUGCAUGAAUGAGGUUGUUGCUGCACUUCUAUGACUGAACACCCAUCGGUUAGAUUUAUUAGCGUCAUUUUUUCUUGUGUUUCGCCAUGUUAUUCUGCAAGCUCUAUACUAAAUGUAGGCUAAAACAUGCUGUCAUUUCCAGAAACAUUUGAGCUAUGCAAAUGUGACCUAAAAGGUUGAACCUUUAUGUGUAUCAGACUAGUAAGUUCUCUAGACUGUUCUUUUACUACUCCCUCUAUCCUAUAUUAAGUGACGAAAUAUUACAUAUAUAUAUAUAGACGUUUUUUGGGUAUA
Molecule: RNA transcript, 2036 nt
Organism: Brachypodium distachyon (stiff brome)
Lineage: Eukaryota; Viridiplantae; Streptophyta; Magnoliopsida; Poales; Poaceae
Gene name: F-box protein At4g18380
Exons: 3
Source: RefSeq, a predicted model, not a curated record